AGGCCUUGACAUGCAGAGAACUUUCCAGAGAUGGAUUGGUGCCUUCGGGAACUCUGACACAGGUGCUGCAUGGCUGUCGUCAGCUCGUGUCGUGAGAUGUUGGGUUAAGUCCGUAACGAGCGCAACCCUUGUUCCUUAGUUACCAGCACGUUAUGGUGGGCACUCUAAAGGGACUGCCGGUGUUAAACCGGAGGAAGGUGGGGAUGACGUCAAGUCCUCAUGGCCUUUAUGACCAGGGCUACACACGUACUACAAUGGCCGAUACAAAGGGCAGCGACACUGCGAGGUGAAGCCAAUCCCGUAAAAUCGGUCUCAGUCCGGAUUGGAGUCUGCAACUCGACUCCAUGAAGUUGGAAUCGCUAGUAAUCGUGGAUCAGCAUGCCACGGUGAAUACGUUCCCGGGCCUU
This 407-nucleotide ribosomal RNA is filed under the name uncultured Desulfobulbus sp. RNAcentral describes it as "bacterial SSU rRNA". It matches the Rfam family "Bacterial small subunit ribosomal RNA", at positions 976 to 1382 of the family's 1533-position model. Lineage: Bacteria; Pseudomonadati; Thermodesulfobacteriota; Desulfobulbia; Desulfobulbales; Desulfobulbaceae. The record is from RNAcentral.